Long non-coding RNA from Sapajus apella (tufted capuchin), 493 nucleotides. RefSeq lists it as uncharacterized. The record is from RefSeq and is a predicted model, not a curated record. The transcript is spliced from 3 exons. Lineage: Eukaryota; Metazoa; Chordata; Mammalia; Primates; Cebidae.
GGCUUUUUAACUUGGUUUCCAGUUCAGUCCGACGAAGACACUCUGCAUCCAGGUCCUGGGGUUGGGAGCACGAGAAAAUCAUGGACACCAUGCUGUAUUCUUCCUAUGGCAUCCCGUCAGGGCCUGCACCAUCUCAAUUUGUUCCAUGACCAGUGAUGCUAACUCUGAUGGCUUAAGAUGGUGUGUGCCAGUCUUCUCCAAGACGGCCGGAAGCCAAGCUUAUACAUUCCAGGCAGGGAUUUGGAAGAUUCUUCUCUGUGCAUGACCAGCCGAGAAAGAAACCCCCAAAACAUUGACACUGUGAUUUCUCCAUGUGAACGGUUUAGCAAGUUCGCCAAGGUUGACCUGCCUCAUUCAUGCUUGUGGAGUGACUAACAAGGCUUCAGUGAUACCCCCUGAAACGUGAGUCAUCCAUAAGUCACUCUUCAUGGGAGAAGAGCCUCUCAUGUAAGCUUAGACCACAAACAACAACAAGAACAACCCAAAAAAUAAA